AAUCAACGCUGGCGGCGUGCCUCAGACAUGCAAGUCGAACGCGAAAGUUCCCUUCGGGGAGCAAGUAGAGUGGCGCACGGGUGAGUAACACGUAGGUAAUUUGCCUUCGGGUGGGGAAUAACAGUCGGAAACGACUGCUAAUACCGCAUAAUGCAGCGGCUCGACAUCGAGACAGUUGUUAAAGCGGGGGAGUCCUUCGGGACCUCGCGCCUGAAGAGAAGCCUGCGGCAGAUUAGCUAGUUGGUGAGGUAAUGGCCCACCAAGGCUACGAUCUGUAACCGGCCUGAGAGGGCGGUCGGUCACACUGACACUGACA
This 316-nucleotide ribosomal RNA is filed under the name uncultured bacterium. RNAcentral's name for it is "bacterial SSU rRNA". It matches the Rfam family "Bacterial small subunit ribosomal RNA", at positions 32 to 324 of the family's 1533-position model. The record is from RNAcentral.